This 486-nucleotide ribosomal RNA is filed under the name uncultured bacterium. RNAcentral's name for it is "bacterial SSU rRNA". It matches the Rfam family "Bacterial small subunit ribosomal RNA", at positions 1016 to 1502 of the family's 1533-position model. The record is from RNAcentral.
GCCUUCGGGAAAUGUGAGACAGGUGCUGCAUGGCUGUCGUCAGCUCGUGUUGUGAAAUGUUGGGUUAAGUCCCGCAACGAGCGCAACCCUUAUCCUUGUUUGCCAGCACUUCGGGUGGGAACUCCAGGGAGACUGCCGGUGAUAAACCGGAGGAAGGUGGGGACGACGUCAAGUCAUCAUGGCCCUUACGAGUAGGGCUACACACGUGCUACAAUGGCGCAUACAGAGGGCGGCCAACUUGCGAAAGUGAGCGAAUCCCAAAAAGUGCGUCGUAGUCCGGAUUGGAGUCUGCAACUCGACUCCAUGAAGUCGGAAUCGCUAGUAAUCGUGGAUCAGAAUGCCACGGUGAAUACGUUCCCGGGCCUUGUACACACCGCCCGUCACACCAUGGGAGUGGGCUGCAAAAGAAGUGGGUAGUUUAACCUUCGGGAGGACGCUCACCACUUUGUGGUUCAUGACUGGGGUGAAGUCGUAACAAGGUAACCG